This 427-nucleotide ribosomal RNA is filed under the name uncultured prokaryote. Its description in RNAcentral is "bacterial SSU rRNA". It matches the Rfam family "Bacterial small subunit ribosomal RNA", at positions 355 to 774 of the family's 1533-position model. The record is from RNAcentral.
UAGGGAAUCUUCGGCAAUGGGCGAAAGCCUGACCGAGCAACGCCGCGUGAAUGAAGAAGGCCUUCGGGUUGUAAAAUUCUGUUAUAAGGGAAGAAAGGUGAUAGGAGGAAAUGACUAUCAAUUGACGGUACCUUAUGAGAAAGCCACGGCUAACUACGUGCCAGCAGCCGCGGUAAUACGUAGGUGGCAAGCGUUAUCCGGAAUUAUUGGGCGUAAAGAGCGCGCAGGUGGUUAAUUAAGUCUGAUGUGAAAGCCCACGGCUUAACCGUGGAGGGUCAUUGGAAACUGGUUGACUUGAGUGCAGAAGAGGGAAGUGGAAUUCCAUGUGUAGCGGUGAAAUGCGUAGAGAUAUGGAGGAACACCAGUGGCGAAGGCGGCUUCCUGGUCUGUAACUGACACUGAGGCGCGAAAGCGUGGGGAGCAAACA